ACGAGACACGUGAAACCUUGUGGGAAGCAGGGAGGACCACCUCCCAAGGCUAAAUACUACCUGAUGACCGAUAGUGAAGCAGUACCGUGAGGGAAAGGUGAAAAGAACCCCGGGAGGGGAGUGAAAUAGAACCUGAAACCGUGUGCCUACAACCGCUCAGAGCCCCUUAUGAGGGUGAUGAGGUGCUUUUUGUAGAACGAGCCAACGAGUUACGGUAUGUAGCAAGGUUAAGUACUUAAGGUACGGAGCCGAAGGGAAACCGAGUCUGAAUAGGGCGACUAGUUGCAUGCCGUAGACCCGAAACCGGGUGACCUAUCCAUGGCCAGGUUGAAGCGAGGGUAAAACCUCGUGGAGGACCGAACCACGUUGCUGUUGAAAAAGCAUGGGAUGAGCUGUGGAUAGCGGAGAAAUUCCAAUCGAACCCGGAGAUAGCUGGUUCUCUCCGAAAUAGCUUUAGGGCUAGCGUCGAGUAUGAGUAGUGGAGGUAGAGCACUGAAUGGGCUAGGGGGCAUAGCGCUUACCGAACCUUAUCAAACUCCGAAUGCCACAUACUUUGAGCUCGGCAGUCAGACUACGAAUGAUAAGAUCCGUGGUCAAAAGGGAAACAGCCCAGAUCGUCAGCUAAGGUCCCAAAGUGUAAGUUAAGUGGGAAAGGAUGUGAGAUUUCUAAGACAACUAGGAUGUUGGCUUAGAAGCAGCCAUUCAUUAAAAGAGUGCGUAAUAGCUCACUAGUCGAGAGAUCUUGCGCCGAAAAUGUAACGGGGCUAAACUUACCA
This 776-nucleotide ribosomal RNA is filed under the name Clostridium perfringens. RNAcentral describes it as "partial 23S ribosomal RNA". It matches the Rfam family "Bacterial large subunit ribosomal RNA", at positions 417 to 1193 of the family's 2925-position model. Lineage: Bacteria; Bacillati; Bacillota; Clostridia; Eubacteriales; Clostridiaceae. The record is from RNAcentral.